Molecule: ribosomal RNA, 484 nt
Filed under: uncultured bacterium
Lineage: Bacteria
Description: partial 16S ribosomal RNA
Rfam family: Bacterial small subunit ribosomal RNA
Source: RNAcentral
AUUGAACGCUGGCGGCAGGCCUAACACAUGCCAGUCGAGCGGAUGAAGGGAGCUUGCUCCUGGAUUCAGCGGCGGACGGGUGAGUAAUGCCUAGGAAUCUGCCUGGUAGUGGGGGAUAACGUCCGGAAACGGGCGCUAAUACCGCAUACGUCCUGAGGGAGAAAGUGGGGGAUCUUCGGACCUCACGCUAUCAGAUGAGCCUAGGUCGGAUUAGCUAGUUGGUGGGGUAAAGGCCUACCAAGGCGACGAUCCGUAACUGGUCUGAGAGGAUGAUCAGUCACACUGGAACUGAGACACGGUCCAGACUCCUACGGGAGGCAGCAGUGGGGAAUAUUGGACAAUGGGCGAAAGCCUGAUCCAGCCAUGCCGCGUGUGUGAAGAAGGUCUUCGGAUUGUAAAGCACUUUAAGUUGGGAGGGAGGGCAGUAAGUUAAUACCUUGCUGUUUUGACGUUACCAACAGAAUAAGCACCGGCUAACUUCGUG